UACAGAGGUCUCAAGCGUUGUUCGGAUUCAUUGGGCGUAAAGGGUGCGUAGGCGGCGCGGUAAGUCGGGUGUGAAAUCUCGGAGCUUAACUUCGAAACUGCAUUCGAUACUGCCGUGCUUGAGGACUGGAGAGGAGACUGGAAUUUACGGUGUAGCGGUGAAAUGCGUAGAUAUCGUAAGGAAGACCAGUGGCGAAGGCGGGUCUCUGGACAGUUCCUGACGCUGAGGCACGAAGGUCAGGGGAGCAAACAGG
This 253-nucleotide ribosomal RNA is filed under the name uncultured bacterium. Its description in RNAcentral is "partial 16S ribosomal RNA". It matches the Rfam family "Bacterial small subunit ribosomal RNA", at positions 524 to 776 of the family's 1533-position model. The record is from RNAcentral.